Molecule: transfer RNA, 74 nt
Filed under: Methylovulum psychrotolerans
Lineage: Bacteria; Pseudomonadati; Pseudomonadota; Gammaproteobacteria; Methylococcales; Methylococcaceae
Description: tRNA-Gly
Rfam family: tRNA
About the family: Transfer RNA (tRNA) molecules are approximately 80 nucleotides in length. Their secondary structure includes four short double-helical elements and three loops (D, anti-codon, and T loops). Further hydrogen bonds mediate the characteristic L-shaped molecular structure. tRNAs have two regions of fundamental functional importance: the anti-codon, which is responsible for specific mRNA codon recognition, and the 3' end, to which the tRNAs corresponding amino acid is attached (by aminoacyl-tRNA synthetases). tRNAs cope with the degeneracy of the genetic code in two manners: having more than one tRNA (with a specific anti-codon) for a particular amino acid; and 'wobble' base-pairing, i.e. permitting non-standard base-pairing at the 3rd anti-codon position.
Source: RNAcentral
GCGGGUGAGGCCCAUCGGUUGGGCAUUGGGCUUCCAUCCCACAUAGGCGGGUUCGAUUCCCGCCACCCGCUCCA